AGCUGUCGCUUUGUUUUCUGAACAUCCACUUCUGUUUCCUGUGGCAACACCUGCUGAUAAAUACGUAGCUGGCUACCCAAACGGACACUGCCCGCACCCCCCAGGCGCUCUCCUCCGCAGGCCCGCGCAGACCCAGUUAACAUUGGAAAUGAAGAGCCCACUGUGAUGGUGUGAGGAUGCCCCCCCCCCCCGCCCCCAAACAUGUGAAAAUAACUCAGCAAAAAACAGAGCAGCUGCCUGGUCAUCUUCCCCAUCGCUGGGAUUUCUUCAGGUAACCAAUAAAUAGCUUGAGGAGGCAGAAGAAAGAUACCCUGAAGACUUUCUCCUCCGGGCUUCUUUUCCAGCGUUAGCCAUGGCACUUCUGUUCUACGCUUGAAGCCACGCAACAUGCAUUCCCCGGGGCCGAGGAGCAUAGAGUUGGUAGAGGGAGUCAAUGUUUCCAGAAGAAACUGUGCCACUCCAAAGGGAAAUUAGAAAAGGAGAAAGUGACCCUUGAAUAAAGAAGAGUUUAUUCAUUUAAAGACCCCUCUCCGGGAUUCUUGGCAGGAAGAGUUCACUUUCCUGCUGCAUCGGGGAUUGGAAGGCUAUUCCUCUGUCCAUGGUCCUAUUCCUCUGCUUCAAACAACUUUAGAAGAAUCCAGAGGGAGGUUCAAAUCUGCAAUGUAGAAAAGCAUUGAAGUGUUCUAGAUACAGCUGAGAAGCUGAGAGAAGACGGAAUUUGUGGGUAUAGCAGAUCUUUGGAAUCUUUGAAAAGAAGUUCUGUCUGCAGUAGAUCCCACCAGCAGAAGGGGAUCCUGCUGGACAGCCAUUCUUUUCAAUAUUGAUGAACGGCAUCUAUCCGUGGAGUGAGCUCCACUUGAGCUGAAGCCUGCUUGGUAAGAAUGACACUAUCAUCUCCCUAACAUUUCAUAUUUUGAAAGAAAGUCCUUCCCAUUCCUAAUGCUUCUCAUCAUUUUUUUCCCAACACUCCUGUAAGACCAGUCACCAUUCACCUGUGCUUUUAUAGCGAUGAAGAGAGACUAACAAACUCAGUAACUCAACUGAGAAAGAUAUUUUAUGGGCAGCCCAUAGUAAUCGCCUAUCUUUUAAAAAGAAACAACAUUUCUUGAGAUCCCAGGAGGUGUCUGGCACUACCCGAAGUGGUAUGAGCAUGAGAGUGCAGAACAUAAUGUUUGGGAACAUAAUGUUCCUCCGGGGACUUAAAAAUUAAUGCAGAUCCAAAACUGUUUAAAAAAAUGUGGGUUGUAAUAAAUUACGGGAAAACAAAGUGAAAGGUGUAGGGGCAAAAAUCCCAAGCAUAGUGAUGAACUAGAGAACAUGGAAAUGGAAUAUGAUGAGCCAAUUAACCUCAGGAGGACAGAGACUCACGGUAUGGGCAGAAUACAAGACACUUAUCUUGAGAAGUCAAUUUUGCAGACUCAGUUACUUGUCCACACACACAAAAUCAAUAGCUAUUUCUGAUAGGCUGCUGGCAAAAAAAAAAAAAUACUGUUCUUUUCUAUAGAUGGAGUCUAAACCAUCCAGCAUACAAUAAAGUGUUUAAGAGAAAAAAUAUAUGUGGGCUGGCAAGCUUUCAAUCUACAAAGCUGGUGAUCUAGUUUUGGGUGAUAGCUCUAAUGGAAAUAGGUGCAAUUGGGUUUGUAGAUACUGAUUUUUAUCAGCAACCAGAAACUGUGCUAAAAGCUCAAUUUGGCCUACUUUAGGUUCCCCGGGUAAGUUAGCGAGGGAAUUUUCAUUAGGUUAUUUGUGAUAUGUCAAAAGAAGAAAUAAAGCAAUGCAUGAACACUGUGAUAUGUAGGUGAGAAGGUAUCUUAAUAGAAAUACUACUCUAGUCUAGAACAGUGUUUCUCCACCAAGGUGAUGGAAAGUACUGGGAAAUGCAGAGACCUAACUUGUCCUCAGACUGAGCUUUCUUCAUUGCCCCAGCUUUCCCGUUUUAAUAACUUCAACCUUGCUAACCUGCCAGUACUAGGGAAGUCAGUUUCAUGUACUGAUGUCAGCCUUUGAUUUGGACUCCCUCAUGGUCAUUGCAACUUUGUUCACUUUUGUAAUUAUUUUUUCACAUUUUCUUGUUUUACAGCAAUACGAAAAGAUAAAAAUACCUAGAAAUGUUUUUUUUUUCCCAAUGUUGAAGGGAAUAAUUUAGACAGUCACUUCCACAUGGAUAUCUAAUAGGCAUCUCAAACUGAGUACGGCCAAAAGAGAAGUCUUGAUUCUUUCUCUUAAUCUUCUUGAAUCAAACAACCCCAAGAGGCUUAAAUAGAGUUUUACUUUUUUCAUAAAGAGAUGUCUGGAAAUAGAUUAUUUCUGGUGUUAAUUCAGCUGCUCAACUACACCAUCAAGGACCUAGGUAGUUUCUCUUUUUUCCUGUCACUAUCCUUAACAUGUUGGCCUUUAAUUAUCCUGUCUUUUAUUUUGUAGUCACAAGAUGGCUGCUGUGACUCCAGGCAUCGUGAUGGUGCUCAAGAUAGCCAAAUCUGUCCCCAGAAGCCUUUCUCUUAGGUCUCGUUAGCCAGAAAUGAAUCAUUCCUGGCUGCAGAGGAGAUGGGGAAAUUGAGUAUCUAGCAAAAGAGAAUGGGAUUAUUAUAAUUGAAUUGUACUGAUCAUGAUUCAUCACUUGGAGCUGGACAUAUUGUCACCCUCAACAAAGUCAGGGCUCUGUUAGCAAGGAGGAAGAGAACAGCUGUUGGAGAGGGAAGUGACACAGACUGCCACACUUCUUAUUCCCAGCCUACCUGUCUCACUGAAUAGCAUCACCAUCUGCCCAGUGCCUGAGCCAGUAACAGAGGAGAGAGCUUGGAUUCCUUUGUUUCUCUUAUGUCCCCCAUAAAAAAAUACCACACAGUUCUGUUGACUCUACUUCCCCUGUGUACCCCUAAUCCACUCUAUUCGCCUUUAGUCACUGGUAACCUAGUUCAAGCUAACAUUGUUCACCUGAAUUACUGCAACUGCCCCCUAAAGAAACAGAAACAAUCACUUCCUUGUCUAGAACCUCCCAUCGGCUUCCUAUCUCAUCUAAAAUCCAAAUUUAUUACGCUGACCUUCCAUGCCUAGAAGAUCUAGGUUCUGCUCACUGGUCCAACUUAACUUGUUCCACUUUUCUGUUUGCCCCUGACUUCCAACCAUGCAGGGUUUCUUUCUCUUCCUCUGACGCUAACUUGUUACUGUCUUGGGAACCUUGGAACCACCUGUUUUCUCCAUCUAGAGUGCUUUGCAUUUCUGAUCUUUUCAUGACCAGCCCCUCCUUGUCAUUUAGAUCACUGUUCAAAUGUCAUCUCUUCAGAGAGAUCUUCUCUGGCCACCAAUCUAAAACAGCAAACUGGUUGGUCAUCCAUCACUUCAUCCUAUUUCAUUUCUUUAUGUUUGCACCUACCACUGUCUAACAUUAUCUUAUUUACCUCUUUAUGUGUCAUGUAUGAAAUGUAACUAUUUAUUUCCCACCUCCUUCACACUAGAAUAUCAGCUCCAUGACAGGAGAGACCUUGUGUGUUCUGUUCACAGCUGUAUUCCUAGCACCUAGAUCAAGGCACAUGGCAGGUUCUCAUCAAAUAUUUCUGAGUGAAUGAAUACAUGAGGGGAAAGAUUUUUUUUUUAAGCGGAAACUUUAGCAAUAAAAGAACAUCUGUAAACUAUUAUCAGCAUCCUUAGAGUUGUCCUUCACAGAGAAAAAUAACUUUGUUAGUUGAAGGAUGUAAAAUGUGUUAUGCUUUAAAGACAUCACAAUUAAUAAGCAAUACUAAUUUCUUCCACACAGCCUCUUUCCUCCUGUGUCCUACUUUCCAAAGCUUAACAAGCCGCAUGUCUUCAUGCUCUAUCAGUGCAGUUACUAAAUGCCUUCUCCAUUGACUUCUCUCUUUUUGCUCCAAUAAUGUGAUUACCUUUUCUGACCAUUUUCUGAAGUUCUGGGACAAUUUAAAAGAAACAUUUGGGCGAUGUCCUCCUUUCCUCCAUUUUUUGGCCAGAAUUUCAAGACGGGGAAAACCAAAAUGUUCUUGGACGAAGAGAGAAAUACUUAGCAUCUAAAAUUUUCUGCCUUUUUGUGAGGUUUUCAUAUUUCUGUAUAUGUUCUUCCUAAAGGCUAAAACCAUUUGUACUCUCUUCACCAGAAAACCAGACUUUUCGUAAGACCGUCCUUUGGGUAAAAUGUUAAAAUUGGAGAGAUUGAUCGGCAGCCUUCAUUCAUUUCCCUCCAUGAUCCUUUUAGUCCUUUCCACACCUUCUCAGUCCUGAGGCGACCUUUUGCAAGCCCAGGCUUCUGGAUCAGCAGCCGGCUGGGCCCACGGGCUCAGCCUGCAUACCAGACAUCCCGUGCAUCUGGCGGGCCAUAGCACAUUGAAAUUGUGCACCAGAAGCUUUGAGAAGUUCAACCUCUUCACACUGGGGAUACAGCAUUCUGGUGAUGGAGGUCCAGCAUACUCUAAAAUGCCCCUAUGUUUAGAAACGUUCCCCAAUACUGCUCAUAAAUUGCACACAAAGAAUCCCGGGGUGUUUGAACUUCUGGACUUGUCAACAGAAAAUAGCAAGCAAAAUGAUUCUCAUCCUCAAAGGUCUUCUGUGAAUACAUCAUAAACAAGAAUACACUGUUCCUCUGUACUUAA
Molecule: long non-coding RNA, 4598 nt
Organism: Felis catus (domestic cat)
Lineage: Eukaryota; Metazoa; Chordata; Mammalia; Carnivora; Felidae
Exons: 4
Source: RefSeq, a predicted model, not a curated record